AUUGAACGCUGGCGGCAGGCCUAACACAUGCAAGUCGAGCGGAUGAAGUGAGCUUGCUCCUGGAUUCAGCGGCGGACGGGUGAGUAAUUCCUAGGAAUCUGCCUGGUAGUGGGGGAUAACGUCCGGAAACGGGCGCUAAUACCGCAUACGUCCUGAGGGAGAAAGUGGGGGAUCUUCGGACCUCACGCUAUCAGAUGAGCCUAGGCCGGAUUAGCUAGUUGGUGGGGUAAAGGCCUACCAAGGCGACGAUCCGUAACUGGUCUGAGAGGAUGAUCAGUCACACUGGAACUGAGACACGGUCCAGGGUCCUACGGGAGGGAGCAGUGGGGAACAUUAGACAAUGGGCGAAAGCAUGAUCCAGCCAUGCGGCGUGUGUGAAGAAGGUCUUCGGAUUGUAAAGCACUUUUAGUUGGGAGGAAGGGCAGUAAGUUCAUACCUUGCUGUUUUGACGGUACCAACAGAAGAAGCACCGGCUAACUACGUG
Molecule: ribosomal RNA, 484 nt
Filed under: uncultured bacterium
Lineage: Bacteria
Description: partial 16S ribosomal RNA
Rfam family: Bacterial small subunit ribosomal RNA
Source: RNAcentral